UCCUCGGUAGCUCAACGGUGGAGCGUCCCGCUGUUAACGGGAAGGCUGCUGGUUCGAAUCCAGCCCGGGGAG
RNAcentral lists this transfer RNA (72 nucleotides) under bacterium F11. It matches the Rfam family "tRNA". Rfam says of the family: Transfer RNA (tRNA) molecules are approximately 80 nucleotides in length. Their secondary structure includes four short double-helical elements and three loops (D, anti-codon, and T loops). The record is from Rfam by way of RNAcentral.